GUCCUUUUGAUUUUUAUUUAAGGUCUGACCUGCCCACUGAUUUAUUUAAUGGCCGCGGUAUUUUGACCGUGCAAAGGUAGCAUAAUAAUUUGUCUUUUAAUUGAAGGCUUGUAUGAAUGGUUGGACGAGAAAAUUACUUUCUUUAUAAUAAAAUUAUUAAUUUUAUUUUUUAGUUAAAAAGCUAAAAUUUUGUUGUAGGACGAGAAGACCCUAUAGAACUUUAUAUUUAUUUUUAUAUUAAUAUUUUUGGUUAAUAAUAUAUUAUAUUUUUAUAUAUAUUUUGUUGGGGCGACAAGAAAAUUUAUUUAACUUUUUUUUAUUAAUUUCAUUAAUUAAUGUAUAAAUGAUCCUUUAUUAUGGAUAAUUAGAAUAAGUUACCUUAGGGAUAACAGCGUAAUUUUUUUGGAGAGUUCUUAUCGAUAAAAAAGUUUGCGA
This 435-nucleotide ribosomal RNA is filed under the name Sigara truncatipala. Its description in RNAcentral is "partial large subunit ribosomal RNA". Lineage: Eukaryota; Metazoa; Arthropoda; Insecta; Hemiptera; Corixidae. The record is from RNAcentral.